This is a long non-coding RNA of Megalobrama amblycephala (Wuchang bream), 532 nucleotides long. RefSeq lists it as uncharacterized. The transcript is spliced from 2 exons. The record is from RefSeq and is a predicted model, not a curated record. NCBI's taxonomy places the organism in Eukaryota, Metazoa, Chordata, Actinopteri, Cypriniformes, Xenocyprididae.
CAGUUUGCACUGAGCGUUCUCAUUGGUGACCCGAGACGACACGCCCAUCCCGCAGCUGCGCGAACAAGGUGUCCAGCUUGUCGUCUGAGCGACACAUUGCCGUCCGGCUUGCUUCCACACUAGGGAGAGAGAGACAGGAUUCCGUGGAUACUGGCCACAUCGUUGCCAUAGUUACACUCCAGGCCCUUGUGAUGGUCGCAGGGUCUGUCGUCAUGGCAGUCGUCGUUCAGCUGGGCGGCACAAACCUUACAGCAGCCGCAUUUGUCGGGCACUGCGCUGACACCUGGCGGGCACAUGGGCCGCUCCACCAGACACUUGCAGACCUUAGGACACCUCGCCCCAACCUGCAGACAGGACACAGACAGUCAGUGAGUUCAGACUGAGUUCGGUGCAACUGAAUAUGGCCACAUAAAACCUCUGCAGACAUCUAAUGUUCAGUUCUUAAUACUUUACUUUAGUAAAAAAAUAUGUGAAUAUAAUUGUGGUUAAUCUGAAUAAAAUGCAUCAGGAUGGCUGACAGAUAGAAAUGAAA